Anas platyrhynchos (mallard) is the source of this 2212-nucleotide long non-coding RNA. RefSeq lists it as uncharacterized. The record is from RefSeq and is a predicted model, not a curated record. NCBI's taxonomy places the organism in Eukaryota, Metazoa, Chordata, Aves, Anseriformes, Anatidae.
ACAUAGAGAUAGACUUGGUAUUACUUUUCUUCUUGUUUCAGACUGCUCAAAUAACAAUAGCAAGAGUGGAAGUGCCCGUUGUGCCAAGAACAAUAAAGUGGAUGCACGGAGUCUGAGAAUUCUUGGCAACAAAUAUCUCAAACCAAUUAGGCCCUAAUAUGAAAUAUUUUUAGAUUUGGAUUCCUUUCAUUGGAUGUGCAGAGGAUAAGACUCCUUGAAGCAAUUUGCUAGUUCUCUUUUUCCGUUUCUGGAAAUGCAUGCAAUUCUUGUCUUUACGAGGAAUGCUGGAGGAGCAAAGCAGAGAACUUUCCCUCCCGUUGAUGCUGCAGGAGCCGGAGCCGUGCCGUGCCCCACAGGAGUGAGGGGGAGCACAGACCACAUGCGAAGAGGCCACAUUUCACUCCUGGCAGUGGGAAUUCAACCCCUGCUGCUCCCUGGUGACUCCCUAAGUCCUGGGCUGGCAGUCCUCUGCUCACCAAAUUUUGUACAAGGCACAAAUUCCCACCAACAGGGACUGGUGUGUGUCACCUGCCCUGCUGCUCUCCUCUCUGGGAAGAUAUCCCCAGCAAACCGAGGCUGCCAAACACCCCUGGGACUCCAGUCUCCGUGCCAGAUAUUUGUUACAUAGCAGUACACGACACUGCAGGGAGAUGAUGUACCUUUGUCUAUGCCGGCAGUGACAUCAAAGCAAUCAUUUAAUUUCUGGUGUACUGAGAAAGCCAUUGGAAAACGCUGGCACCUGCACUUGAGGCUGGUACCUGCACUUUGCUGAAAACCUCCAUGCAAAGACUGACAUUCUUGUCAGGACACCUUCAAGAAAACUGUACUGAACCAAGGUCAAAGUUGGCUCGAAACCUCUUGGAGAACACGGUGGAGUGCACUGCCCUUGCAUCUGACUCAUGGAAAACAGCUGCCCCAUCCUGCCUGAGAGCAAAGUGCUUUACAAACAGCAUGAGGCCACGCCUAAACCCUUGAACAGUAAGAGAUGUAAGACCACAGGAAGCAUUGACUUUUCCACACCAAGAACGUGGAAGCUCCUCCAUUUGUUAAGUGCUAUGAACCAACAGGCCAACGGACUGCUGUCAGUAAAUCCAAAUGCUGCCAUCACAGCAGCUGCCCAGGAGCACAGAGGUGGGGAUUAAUAGAACCUGCCAAAGCCAAGCACAUAAAGAACUUCAUCAAAAUACAUCAGUGCGUCAGAUAUCCCUUUGCUUUCAAUACUAAGAAUAAACAAAGGUCACACUGUCACCAGAUCACAAAAGCUUGCCGGGCUUGAUGCUAUUUUUUGCUGAGUUGCUCAAGAAUUAGAGAAUAGUUGGCAAUUUCAUUCACAAAUAUUUGCACUCCUAAUGGGGCAGUGGAAGCAUGGAUGACUGGAAAAGACAUGACUGGUCCACAUCUGGGGAGAAGACAAAUGAGCUCUAAAGCUACCAGGCAGCAGUUUUGCUGUCUCCUUGUUAGGAAACUUUCUGUUAGAGCGACAUACAGAGCUGAAAGCCUCUACUAAAAUGUGUUUGGCAUCCAGCUCCAACUUCUGAGUCAAUGGUCUGGCACAGUCCACCUAGAAAGUGGCUACCAAAAGGAACCAGAGGCAGCAGCUGUGCUGCCUGCCUGCUCAGGAGCUUUGUGCACUCUGGGGCAGUGCCUGCUGCAUUGGGAAGUCCCGUCCUUUUUCUCAUCAUCCAAAAGCUCGGCAACAGCAAUCUUCAUGUCUCUUUUGGCAGCCGUCCCAGUAGCACAAGAGCACUCUGUGAUGGACUCUUUGGUUUCUAGGCUUGGAUGACUACUUCUUAGACUUUAUAACAGCAACUUUUCAUGCUGUCUUCCAUGGCUUAUAGAUAAAAUGGCACUGUGGAAGAAAUAGUAGGCAUAGUCUCUUCAAGAGUCCUUUAGACCUGAUCAGGGAUUUUAAGCUCUCCUUCUUUAAGAUAUAUGGACCCCCCCCCCCAAGGAGGAAUGGAUUUUGAACCUCUGCUCUCAGACAGAUCUCCUUUUAACAUGUGGAAUUCCAAAAGCAAUGACAGAUUGGAAACUCAUGCCAAAGUCGCUGAAGCAUUUAAUAGAGCCCGAGGAAGCUAGUGUCAAUCUUUCCUUUGUCCAGAACUACUUUAACAAAGUAUGCGACCUCUUCGAACUCUCUCGAUGGCUCGUGUGAAAUGAAAUCUAGCCUAAGUGCGGUAAUCUGGGGGCAUUAAAUUACGUUUAACCUAAA